ACCUCCCAGCUCCUAAUGACCACCCAGCACCACCUGCACUGCUCAGGACCUCUGGCAGGAGCACAGAAAGCAGCCAGCUGGGUUCCCAGGCGCCACGGGAGCUGCUGCGCUGGGACAUGCUGCUGGAUGGCACAAAGAGCUCUUUCCCUGGCUUGCUGCUUCUCCAGGACACCACGUUUCCAGCAUUGACCUCUUUCCAUCCCUGGAGAAACAGAAUCAUUGCUGAGGAGUGGAAGGGGAAGAGGCUCCACACAAGUAUUUAUUUCUUGGACAGAACCCAGGACUCCUCUUGACUAGAAUUGGCUGCUCCAGCCUGGCCCUGAGCGCCCCCAGGGAGGCAUCCACAGCCUCCUUGGGAGAUGUUAAAAAGCUCAUGAGAUCAGUCUUCUGCUGUAGGCUCUGACUGGAACCUGCCACAGCCACCCCUGAUGGGUGACCUCCCUGUAACGUCUGCCCCGGGGCCGUGCUGCUGAGGAACCACCAACGGAUGUGCUGCUGCCUUGCCAAUGCAACCUGUGGAGCUCCUAACUUCACUCCAUGAGAAGAUGCUGUGAGAUGUUGCUUUCCAGAUCCUCUCAACUGCAUUGUUGCAAAGGAGCUGGCUGCAGUGUGAGGACCAUGAAGAGUACUCUGGAAACUCUUUCAAGCACAGUUUCAGGAGCUGUGAGGCAGCAAAUAAAGCAGCAAUUUGGACUCUCUUCCUGGGGCCUGUGAGGAGGGAGAUGCAAUGAGUCUACACAGAGCAGCCACAAAGAAGAGGUAGUCUGUGGGGACUAAUGAGGUCUGUCACCUCCAUUUGCUCCUUGGAAACAAAAAGUUCUGGGGAUAAUCCUGACUGCCCUGAGCUUGAUCACUGACUCGAAAGGCUUUGCCUGUACCAGUGAAUAUCAAACACUUGGGACCCUUCUUUACAUCCUAGGACCAGCUCCAUGCCACCAGCACAGAACUUGGGAGAGAGAGGAUUCAUCUGCCUAGAGUACAAUCAUGCCAAGGUCUCUUCUGGCAUCAGCAGCACAACUGAGUGUAGCCAUGGCAAGGCAGGAAUUUCACCUUCUCCAUCCCCUGUCUUGAUUGUCAUUUAGCCUCUGUCCUGUCCCAGCAAUUCAGCAGCUGAAGGCUGGUCCAUAGAUGCAGGCACUGCCUGGUUUGUGCCCCAGUUUGAGGAGCAGGAGGCUCUCUAGCAAAGCAGCUGCUUAGCUGAGCACUGGAUUUGACUGAAUUGCCCCUUCGAGGCAAGCCCCA
Molecule: long non-coding RNA, 1242 nt
Organism: Pogoniulus pusillus (Red-fronted tinkerbird)
Lineage: Eukaryota; Metazoa; Chordata; Aves; Piciformes; Lybiidae
Exons: 5
Source: RefSeq, a predicted model, not a curated record